RNAcentral lists this ribosomal RNA (157 nucleotides) under Pinaceicola cordae. RNAcentral describes it as "Fusicladium cordae 5.8S ribosomal RNA". It matches the Rfam family "5.8S ribosomal RNA". From Rfam's summary of the family: 5.8S ribosomal RNA (5.8S rRNA) is a component of the large subunit of the eukaryotic ribosome. It is transcribed by RNA polymerase I as part of the 45S precursor that also contains 18S and 28S rRNA. The record is from RNAcentral. Lineage: Eukaryota; Fungi; Ascomycota; Dothideomycetes; Venturiales; Sympoventuriaceae.
AAACUUUCAACAACGGAUCUCUUGGCUCGGGCAACGAUGAAGAACGCAGCGAAAUGCGAUAAGUAAUGCGAAUUGCAGAAUCAGUGAAUCAUCGAAUCUUUGAACGCACAUUGCGCCUCUCGGCAUUCCGAGGGGCACGCCUGUUCGAGCGCCAUUA